Molecule: transfer RNA, 64 nt
Filed under: Meru phyllisae
Lineage: Eukaryota; Metazoa; Arthropoda; Insecta; Coleoptera; Meruidae
Description: tRNA-Leu
Source: RNAcentral
UCUAAUGUGGCAGAUUAGUGUAAUGAAUUUAAGCUUCAUAAAUAAAGUUGACCUUUCUUUAGAA